Long non-coding RNA from Astatotilapia calliptera (eastern happy), 2287 nucleotides. NCBI's taxonomy places the organism in Eukaryota, Metazoa, Chordata, Actinopteri, Cichliformes, Cichlidae. The record is from Ensembl.
GACAAAAGUAGGAGGAGUACUGGGAGAAAAACACGUUGUUUGUUUCAUUUCAGAGCCAUACAUAACUGGGUCAAGGACUUUAUUUUACUCUAUUUUAAACUUUAUUUUAGGGCUACGCAGUUGCACUGAUCACAACUAUGGAUAUAAACAUGCUGCUCCUGUUUCUAUUGCUGCUGCUCUUUGGUUCUCAGGCUAACCAUUUCUUUGGGACAGUGAUGACUUUUACCCCCAAAGACAAGACACAUAAUGGCUCUCUCAUGAUUGGAUGGCGGUGACUGGAUUCAAACCAAAAACAAGGUGAAGAAAUGGAGAGCUCUGACUAAUGUGGACCUGAGGACUCGUCUCGACACUAAUCAGCCAAACAAGUCACCUCAGACCACCAUCCUGCCAGCCCUGCGAGUCCCUUCAAACUGUCAAAGAGUCUUCACCCUGUCGGCCUUUGACCCUGAUGGAGACAAGGUUAAAUGCAGAUUUGGAGACAUAGACGCAGAUGAGUGUAAUCCUUGUACACCACCGUCUGUUCUGACCAUCUCACAAGCUUGCACAUUGUCAUUUAAUCCUGUCAGCAGGCAAGAUGAAGGUUCAUAUGCAGUACAGCUGGAAAUGGAGGACUUCCCAAAAAAGACUAUCAUCAUCAGUGAUUAUGGUUUUCAGACAAACAUCACUCCCAGCGAGGCUCUCAGCAAAAUACCAAUCAGAUUUGCUCUGAUGGUGGACUCUCCUGCACCAUCAUGCUCAGAGGGAGUCUACCUGCCCAGGUUUCUACCUCCAACCCCAGCCAAUGGGGCUCGCAUGUACACUAAUGACACAGUGAACAUUACCAUUAUGGCAGAGGUGAAAAACACCAUGGUUUUAAAGCUUUUGUUCAGUGGACCGCACAAUGUUGUAAAACACAAUGAAUCACAUGGAGAAUUUAUCCUGACUUGGACGCCAUCUGAGAAUCAAGAUGGAGAAGAUCAUCCCGUCUGCUUCUUAGUCCAGGCAGAGAAAGGUGCAGCCAAAUAUCAGUCUGAGCUACGAUGUGUGAUUGUGAGCUAUCGCACAGAACCAGUCAUCACAACAUCUAUGCCAACAACCGUUCUGCUUUCAACUACUCCAGCGAGCACGACUACUGUAACCAAAACAGAAACACUGAGCAUAUCAACUAUGGUGGCAGAUGAGCCCAAAGCAUCAGGUGAUGACAGCAGUCGUGCUGGCAAAAUUGCUGGUGCUGUGUGUGGGGCUGUAGGUGUUGCAGCGACCGUUGGCAUUGUGGUCUGGGUGGUGAGAGGAAGUCCACACGCGUUCUAUAAAGUAGUCUAAUGGAAGAAGAAAGAGAUUAAGGAAAAACAAAACUGGCUAUAAAAUCUAGAGAACUUGGGAAAAGGAUAUCACAAACGUUGUUACUGCACAUUUUUUUUCUGAGUAAAUAAUCACAUUUCUACUUAUGUAUAUACUAUAUGAUAUAGAUGCAUAUUGUUUACUGAUGAAGAAUCGCACCAUCGUGUCAAUCUCCAGUGUACUGAUAUUAGUCUUUGGCUCUAUCUGGUGGUGGAAUGAUGGCAUGACAUACAUGUACAGAGUUGUAAAUAAAAGCUACAGAGAGCAGCUUUUAGAUGUGUGUAUUUCAUCCUUUAACAUCUUACAGACUUAAAUGUAAAAUACAAAUGAGGCAGGUUUAAUAUGUACAGAGAAAAUGGUUGGAAGUAAGGCACUGAGGUUUGAAGCCUGAAAAGAAAAAAGAAAAGUUCUUAUAAUGCACCUUUCUGCUACAACUGAGCACUAAAAGCACUUUAGUUCUGUUGCUUUAUUGUUUAUGUUUUGUGAUCUGGAUGGUGAAGGAAAGUCAGGGCUGUUAGGGCUGACAAACACAUCUUUUAACCCUGUGAGGUGGAAAUCAGUGCCGGUGAUAACAAUAAACCUAAUAUGACCAGAAUCUCAUCAUUUAGACAAACACAAAACAGCCAUUAUCUUUCUCUUAAAAUGUAAAUAGUUUUUGAAUGUUUGUCACUUUAGAUUUUUUUUUUUGAGUGCAUACAAACUAUAGGGGUUUGCUCAUCUGCCUUCACAUGCAUACAAACUAUAGGGGUUUGCUCAUCUGCCUUCACAUGCAUACAAACUACAGUGACAUCUCAUUCUUUAGUCAUAGGGCUUCAACUCUUCUGGGAAGGCUUUCCACAAAGUUUAGUAAUGUAAGAGUUUUUGAUCAUUAUUCCAGAAGUGGAUUUGUGAGAUCAAAAACUAAUGUUUGAUAAGAAGGCCUGGUUCACUUAACUCUAAUUCAUCCCAAAGGUGUUUUCUAAGAGGC